CACCGCGGUUAUACGAGAGGCCCAAGUUGACAGACAGCGGCGUAAAGAGUGGUUAGGGAAAUUUUUAAACUAAAGCCGAACGUCCUCAGAGCUGUCUAACGCUUCCGAGUUAAGAAGCCCCAUUACGAAAGUAGCUUUAUCUAACCUGACCCCACGAAAGCUGAGAAA
RNAcentral lists this ribosomal RNA (168 nucleotides) under Chrysiptera starcki (Starck's demoiselle). RNAcentral describes it as "partial 12S rRNA". The record is from RNAcentral. Lineage: Eukaryota; Metazoa; Chordata; Actinopteri; Pomacentridae.